RNAcentral lists this ribosomal RNA (301 nucleotides) under uncultured bacterium. RNAcentral's name for it is "partial 16S ribosomal RNA". It matches the Rfam family "Bacterial small subunit ribosomal RNA", at positions 509 to 808 of the family's 1533-position model. The record is from RNAcentral.
CAGCGCCGCGGGAAUACGAAGGGUGCAAGCGUUAAUCGGAAUUACUGGGCGUAAAGCGUGCGUAGGCGGUUUGUUAAGUCUGCUGUGAAAUCCCCGGGCUCAACCUGGGAAUGGCAGUGGAUACUGGCAAGCUAGAGUGUGUCAGAGGAUGGUGGAAUUCCCGGUGUAGCGGUGAAAUGCGUAGAGAUCGGGAGGAACAUCAGUGGCGAAGGCGGCCAUCUGGGACAACACUGACGCUGAGGCACGAAAGCGUGGGGAGCAAACAGGAUUAGAUACCCCAGUAGUCCCUGUCUCUUAUACA